RNAcentral lists this non-coding RNA (18 nucleotides) under Rattus norvegicus (Norway rat). Lineage: Eukaryota; Metazoa; Chordata; Mammalia; Rodentia; Muridae. The record is from RNAcentral.
UUCUGUUUGGCAUGGGGA